This 332-nucleotide ribosomal RNA is filed under the name uncultured eukaryote. Its description in RNAcentral is "partial 18S ribosomal RNA". It matches the Rfam family "Eukaryotic small subunit ribosomal RNA", at positions 1470 to 1796 of the family's 1831-position model. The record is from RNAcentral.
CCCUUAGAUGUUCUGGGCUGCACACGUGCUACACUGGCAGGUUCAGCGAGCUUCAUGCCCUGAUCUGGAAGGAAUGGGAAAUCUUUUCAAAACCUGCCGUGCUUGGGAUAGAUGUUUGCAAUUAUUCAUCUUCAACGAGGAUUGCCUUGUAAGCGCACGUCAUCAGCGUGCAUUGAAUACGACCCUGUAUUCUGUACACACCGCCCGUCGCUCCUACCGAUUGAAGUUUUCGGUGAGUUGACAGGAGGAUUUUUUUGAAACUGGUUCGCCAGUGGAUUUUAGAUCCAAAUGCCAACGAAUCGAUGGCUUUAGAGGAAGGAGAAGUCGUAACA